RNAcentral lists this ribosomal RNA (480 nucleotides) under uncultured bacterium. RNAcentral's name for it is "bacterial SSU rRNA". It matches the Rfam family "Bacterial small subunit ribosomal RNA", at positions 37 to 518 of the family's 1533-position model. The record is from RNAcentral.
UGGCGGCGUGCCUAACACAUGCAAGUCGAGCGGAGACAGACGGAAAGCUUGCUUUUGUCUGUUUCAGCGGCGGACGGGUGAGUAACGCGUGAGCAACCUGCCUUUAACAGGGGAAUAACGCAUCGAAAGAUGUGCUAAUACCGCAUAAGACCACAGCAUCACAUGGUGCAGGGGUCAAAAGGAGCAAUCCGGUUAAAAGAUGGGCUCGCGUCUGAUUAGCUGGUUGGUGAGACAACAGCCCACCAAGGCGACGAUCGGUAGCCGACCUGAGAGGGUGAUCGGCCACAUUGGAACUGAGAUACGGUCCAGACUCCUACGGGAGGCAGCAGUGGGGAAUAUUGGGCAAUGGGCGAAAAAGCCUGACCCAGCAACGCCGCGUGAGGGAAGAAGGGUUUCGGCUCGUAAACCUCUGUCCUAUGGGACGAAGGAAGUGACGGUACCAUAGGAGGAAGCCCCGGCUAACUACGUGCCAGCCGCCGC